CCUACGGGAGGCAGCAGUGGGGAAUAUUGCACAAUGGGGGAAACCCUGAUGCAGCAACGCAGCGUGAGUGAUGACGGCCUUCGGGUUGUAAAGCUCUGUCUUCAGGGACGAUAAUGACGGUACCUGUGGAUGAAGUCACGUAGAACUAUGUGCCAGCCGCCGUGGUAAUACGUAGGUGGCGUGCGUUGUCCUGAUUUACUGGGCGUUAAGGGCGCUUAGGCAGUAUUUUAAGUGCGAUGUGAAAUACUCGGGCUCAACUUGAGUGCUGCAUUUCAAACUGGAAGUCUAGAGUGCAGGAGAGGAGAAUGGAAUGCCUAGGGUAGCGGUGAAAUGCGUAGAGAUUAGGAAGAACACCAGUGGCGAAGGCGAUUCUCUGGACUAUAACUGACGCUGAGGCUCGAAAGCGUGGGGAGCAAACAGGAUUAGAUACCCCUGUAGUG
This 440-nucleotide ribosomal RNA is filed under the name uncultured bacterium. Its description in RNAcentral is "partial 16S ribosomal RNA". It matches the Rfam family "Bacterial small subunit ribosomal RNA", at positions 338 to 795 of the family's 1533-position model. The record is from RNAcentral.